This 301-nucleotide ribosomal RNA is filed under the name uncultured bacterium. RNAcentral's name for it is "partial 16S ribosomal RNA". It matches the Rfam family "Bacterial small subunit ribosomal RNA", at positions 509 to 809 of the family's 1533-position model. The record is from RNAcentral.
CAGCCGCCACGGUAAUACAGAGGGUGCGAGCGUUAAUCGGAUUUACUGGGCGUAAAGCGUGCGUAGGCGGCUAAUUGAGUCGGAUGUGAAAUCCCCGAGCUUAACUUGGGAAUUGCAUUCGAUACUGGUUAGCUAGAGUGUGGGAGAGGAUGGUAGAAUUCCAGGUGUAGCGGUGAAAUGCGUAGAGAUCUGGAGGAAUACCGAUGGCGAAGGCAGCCAUCUGGCCUAACACUGACGCUGAGGUACGAAAGCAUGGGGAGCAAACAGGAUUAGAUACCCGUGUAGUCCCUGUCUCUUAUAU